ACUGUCACAGUGAGAGAAGCCCCUUACACAGAUUUUCUUGUAUACCUCUGUUACUAGCUAAAUGAUAAACAUAUACCUACAUUCUUAGAGUAUAGGCCUUUACAGGCAGGCCUGAAUAUCUAUAUCCUAACACUACUUCACAUUCUUGCU
Molecule: long non-coding RNA, 150 nt
Organism: Chelonia mydas (Green sea turtle)
Lineage: Eukaryota; Metazoa; Chordata; Testudines; Cheloniidae
Exons: 3
Source: RefSeq, a predicted model, not a curated record